Non-coding RNA from Coniochaeta sp. 2T2.1, 92 nucleotides. NCBI's taxonomy places the organism in Eukaryota, Fungi, Ascomycota, Sordariomycetes, Coniochaetales, Coniochaetaceae. The record is from the annotation of a GenBank genome assembly.
UUCUCCUUAGCUCAGUUGGCUAGAGCGUUCGACUGUUAUCUUCGCAAGACAGAGACAUCGAGAGGUCCACAGUUCAAGCCUGUGAGGGGAAG